AUACUCUGGUUUCUCUUCAGAUUGUAUAAAUCUUUUGCCUUUUACUAAAGAUUUCCAUAGAGACGAACAGGCACAAGUGCCAAGAAUUUUCAUUUUUCUCAUUAGCAACACAGGUGUAGGG
Molecule: small nuclear RNA, 121 nt
Organism: Junco hyemalis (dark-eyed junco)
Lineage: Eukaryota; Metazoa; Chordata; Aves; Passeriformes; Passerellidae
Gene: U5
Rfam family: U5 spliceosomal RNA
About the family: U5 RNA is a component of both types of known spliceosome.
Source: Ensembl